CGCUCUUAUCCAUUCCCCGUCCAUCCUGUUCUCGUCCUCUCCGCAGGCCCGCUCCACGCAAGCACCAUCACCACUGCCGGCGCUCGAUGCGCUGGCCACUGCUGCAACUGCGUGCCGGUGAAGCUACUUCCCCACGGGUUGGAGUACGAGCCUUUCAGCUGGUGCGCAAGGAGAGCUGCAAAACACAUCUGGUGGACCUACAAGCUGUACAUGCAAGCGCUGGUAAUGGUGGACAGCCACCGCUGCUAGCCGCCGACGCCCAGCUUUACCCGUGAUGGCGGUCUGCAAUCAGCCAAGUGAUACAACUACGGCAACGGGAUGCUGGGACCAGCACCCAAAUUUGCUACAACCAAUGUUUUCUGGUUUGUCCCAAUUUUACUAUUUUUGCUACCAUCACUUUUAGAUUUGCUGGAACCAGCACAAAAAUUUGCUACCAUCGGCGUUUUUAUUUUACUGAAACGGACGACAGUUUCUGCAAUUUGCUACCACCAGCGUUUUGGUUUGCUGGAACCAGAUCCAUUUUUUGCUACAACAGGACAUUUUGCUUUUGCUGGAACAAGCGUCUAAUAUUUUUUUUGCAUUUUUGUUUCCAAUGGCAUUUUGUUUUGCUGGAACCGCUUCAAUUUUUGCUACUAUCGGUGUUUCGUUUGUUGGAACAUUGCCUAAUUUUUUCUAUUUUUGCUUCCAUCGUUUUUAUUUUUUGCUGGAACCAGCCUCAAAAUUUGCUACCACCAUAUUCAGAUUUUGCUGGAACCGGUAAUUUUUCUGCUUCAACCCAGUACUGGAGUCUUUUGUUGCUUUUUAUGUUUUUGCUAGAUGUGGCCUUUUCGUUUGCUACAAUCUGCUAUGCGGGAUGCUGGAAACUCUUGUUUUGGCGAAGCUGCAAUGCCGCGUGAAAACUGAUGAAGGAGCUGCCAGCGCGUUUUGGUGUCGCAACCAUGGGUGGCGGAGAGCAAUCCGUCGCCGGCAGUUUUCUCAUGAAUUUAUCGAGCUGCAACCCGCCCGCAAUGGAGUUGCGACAUCUUCGUCGGAGAUUUUUGCAUGGGCCAUGGCCACAACUGCAUCGGUGGGAGGGAAGGGUAGAAGAAAGCUGCAACCGGCG
This 1102-nucleotide ribosomal RNA is filed under the name Triticum aestivum (bread wheat). RNAcentral's name for it is "partial small subunit ribosomal RNA". The record is from RNAcentral. Lineage: Eukaryota; Viridiplantae; Streptophyta; Magnoliopsida; Poales; Poaceae.